CCUUACAUCAGAAGGAGUAGAGGGAGCGACAUCAGGAUGACCAUUGGAUUGGGCAUGUGGAUUCGCAGCAGAUCGUUCUCUAAAUCCGAAGACGACGGAUAGGAAAGACAAGGCAAAUGGAAGGCGAGAGUUCAGCAAAUGACAUGUCAGUAUGAUCACUAUGACCGCCAGGGUAUACCCGUAAGUACACGAAGACAACGACCAUCCGUUUCCUCCUCGAUCCAUCUUCUCUUUCCAAAGUUCUGACACUAAUGGUGAAGGCCAAAUCGCAGUGCACAUUCUCUGUGUUUGCUAUAUGCAACUGGUCAGCCUAUAAAUUUUCGUCCUCCUUGGAUUUGGAAUCCAGCACUCCUAGGAUUUCUUCAGCAUCGCCCUUCCACAACUACUGUUCUAUCGCUAGGGGUUCACCUAAAUGAGAAAGUUUGGCCUUCACCCUACAAACUGGAUAAACCCAUCCUCACGGUGAUCCAUACAUCGUCCCCUCUUUUGUUUUGGGGGAAUUUCCCAAUAUUCUUUUUUUUAUUUAUUUUUGGUUUCUCACAGGUUCCCUCAUUUGAGAUGAUAAGCCCACAUUUGCUAAGUCCGGAGCCCAAUUAUGUCAAGAUUAUUAUUUUUUUUGUAUUCUGAGAUAUGCUAUAAAUAUUAUCAUAGUUUAUUGGGG
Molecule: long non-coding RNA, 661 nt
Filed under: Solanum tuberosum (potato)
Lineage: Eukaryota; Viridiplantae; Streptophyta; Magnoliopsida; Solanales; Solanaceae
Description: long non-coding RNA (STUB_LNC004266)
Source: RNAcentral